UUCCUUGCCAUGGGCGCCGGCUGCAGUGGUGUGGAUGGAUGUAGUGGGUACAGUGAAGGAUGGAUGGCGGAGGAAGUGGCGCCAUCUUGGAGAGGGUGAGGUACUUCCAGCGUCUUUACAGUGAAGACGAAAGUGAAUUAGUAGAACAGGAAAAAUAGAAGUACUGCUUGAAGGCCUACUACGCCAGGCACUGUUGCUUUUUACACAUCAAAACAAAAGAUGACUAAGACGGAAUCAGCCUCCCACUUGCUUACUCCAGAUGAGACCCUGCCUCAGGGUUCCUACCUGACCCAGGUGUGAGCUCAGUCUGUCUGAGGGUUUUGCUGAGGCAGCUGGGACAGAUGGUGCUGCUGUAGCCAUCUUGUGCUUAAGAGGAAAAGCCUGUCGAAGAAUGGAGCCCGCUUGAAGGCUAUGGAGAAGACAGGCACAGAGUGCGCUCCAGCACAG
Molecule: long non-coding RNA, 447 nt
Filed under: Heterocephalus glaber (naked mole-rat)
Lineage: Eukaryota; Metazoa; Chordata; Mammalia; Rodentia; Bathyergidae
Description: lncRNA (ENSHGLG00000047045.1)
Source: RNAcentral